Long non-coding RNA from Helianthus annuus (common sunflower), 986 nucleotides. RefSeq lists it as uncharacterized. NCBI's taxonomy places the organism in Eukaryota, Viridiplantae, Streptophyta, Magnoliopsida, Asterales, Asteraceae. The transcript is spliced from 2 exons. The record is from RefSeq and is a predicted model, not a curated record.
UUUUUCGGCUAGCAAAGGUGAGUUUGCAUGUCCUAGUCUUGCCUUUCUUUUGUGUUUUUUUGGUUUCGGUAUUUCAUAUUAACCAUUUAUGUGUUGCUUGCUUGAGGUUUUUGGUUUCUUAUUCUCAGUGGUGAUGAUGUCGAGAAGUAGGAGAGAAUUUGUGAUGGAUUGAUUCGUAUAUUUGAUCUAUGGUUUUUGCGAAAGAUAUGGUGAGAUUGUUGAUGUGAACCUGGUUAGAGAUAAAGGCACAGGAAAAUCGAAAGUGGUUUGAUUUCAUUUCUCUAGGGUUCUUAAUUAAUAUUAUUCAUGGUUUAACUUUUUUUUUUAUUUAAAUUGUGCUGAACGGGCUCGAAUUGCUCUUAACAAGAUUCCAGGUAUAUAUAUUCGUCAUUGCUAUUUGCCUGAUGGUUCCAUUCAGGCAGGACAUCUUACAUUUCUAGGUGAUUGGUAAUGUAUCGUUCAGAGGGGAUGGGUAAUGGGUCAAAUGGAUAGAGUUUUGAAAGAUGCACAUCUUUGGUAAUGGGUCAAAGUAUAUUUGGGUUAAAAUAAUUUUUCAUUGUGGGUUGAAUUAUGUAUAAUGAAAAAAUGAUGUUGAAAAAUGAGAUUUCAUUGCUGUAAAAUGGUAGUUAAAGUGCUGAAAAGCAUGCUACAAAUUGAUGAUGAUAUUGUUGGUUGAUCAAAGCAACGUUAUGUGUUUACAAACGAGUGUGUUUGAUUAAAGCUUCUAAGUAAUCCUAUUACGUUUAUUUAAUAUAACUCCGGUAUUUUUGUUCAUUUGCAGGCUAACAAGAGAUCUGGGCACUCCAAAUAAGUGAGACAGGCAAGAGUAUGUAAGACAUCCGCAAACAUCUUUUUCCGUACCUUAUUUAUGUAUUAUUUUUAAUUCCCACUCACCGGAUAAUAUUGCAUUUAAUUGAAGGGUGAAAGGCUCUUCUAUGCACGAGUGCAUACCAGUAAAUGCUUUAUUCUCAAAAUCAAGUUUUUUA